GUGGCAGCCGCCGCGGUAAAACCAGCACCUCAAGUGGUCAGGAGGAUUAUUGGGCCUAAAGCAUCCGUAGCCUGCUCUGUAAGUUUCCGGUUAAAUCCAUUAGCUCAACUAAUGGCCUGCCGGAAAUACUGUAGAGCUAGGAAGUGGGAGAGGUAGACGGUACUCGGUAGGAAGGGGUAAAAUCCUUUGAUCUAUUGAUGACCACCUGUGGCGAAGGCGGUCUACCAGAACACGUUCGACGGUGAGGGAUGAAAGCUGGGGGAGCAAACCGGAUUAGAUACCCGGGUAGUCCCAGCUGUAAACGAUGCAGACUCGGUGAUGCCCUGGCUUGUGGCCAGUGCAGUGCCGCAGGGAAGCCGUUAAGUUUGCCGCCUGGGAAGUACGUACGCAAGUAUGAAACUUAAAGGAAUUGGCGGGGGAGCACCACAAGGGGUGAAGCCUGCGGUUCAAUUGGAGUCAACGCCAGAAAUCUUACCCGGAGAGACAGCAGAAUGAAGGUCAAGCUGAAGACUUUACCAGACAAGCUGAGAGGUGGUGCAUGGCCGUCGCCAGCUCGUGCCGUGAGAUGUCCUGUUAAGUCAGGUAACGAGCGAGAUCCCUGCCUCUAGUUGCCACCAUUACUCUCAGGAGUAGUGGGGCGAAUUAGCGGGACCGCCACAGUUAAUGUGGAGGAAGGAAGGGGCCACGGCAGGUCAGUAUGCCCCGAAACUCUGGGGCCACACGCGGGCUGCAAUGGUAGUGACAAUGAGUUCCGAAACCGAAAGGUGGAGGUAAUCUUCAAACGCUACCACAGUUAUGAUUGAGGGCUGCAACUCGCCCUCAUGAAUAUGGAAUCCCUAGUAACUGCGUGUCAUUAUCGCGCGGUGAAUACGUCCCUGCUCCUUGUACACACCGCCCGUC
RNAcentral lists this ribosomal RNA (900 nucleotides) under uncultured archaeon. RNAcentral's name for it is "bacterial SSU rRNA". It matches the Rfam family "Archaeal small subunit ribosomal RNA", at positions 455 to 1354 of the family's 1478-position model. The record is from RNAcentral.